AGCAGUAGCCACGGGAAUACAGAGGGUGCGAGCGUUAAUCGGAUUUACUGGGCGUAAAGCGUGCGUAGGCGGCUUCUUAAGUCGGAUGUGAAAUCCCUGAGCUUAACUUAGGAAUUGCAUUCGAUACUGGGAAGCUAGAGUAUGGGAGAGGAUGGUAGAAUUCCAGGUGUAGCGGUGAAAUGCGUAGAGAUCUGGAGGAAUACCGAUGGCGAAGGCAGCCAUCUGGCCUAAUACUGACGCUGAGGUACGAAAGCAUGGGGAGCAAACAGGAUUAGAGACCCCAGUAGUCCCUGUCUCUUAUAC
This 303-nucleotide ribosomal RNA is filed under the name uncultured bacterium. Its description in RNAcentral is "partial 16S ribosomal RNA". It matches the Rfam family "Bacterial small subunit ribosomal RNA", at positions 507 to 807 of the family's 1533-position model. The record is from RNAcentral.